RNAcentral lists this long non-coding RNA (258 nucleotides) under Capra hircus (goat). RNAcentral describes it as "lncRNA (ENSCHIG00000007078.1)". Lineage: Eukaryota; Metazoa; Chordata; Mammalia; Artiodactyla; Bovidae. The record is from RNAcentral.
AGAGGUUACAACACACGCAUUCUUGGCGCCAUUGUUCAGACUGACUCAGAACAGCUGAACAUCUUAAAGUCAGUGUGUGGAAGCCACAAAGCACCCAGCAGCCGGACCUAGAGAAACAGCCACUUGCCAGCCACCCAGCCGCCUUGACUGCCAUUCACAGGGUGAGCCGGGCUUCUGUGGGAACAGAGAUUUCCAGCAUGGUCGCUGGUACAAAUUUUCAUACUUUUUAAAAAUUUGGUCAAUGGCUAUAUUUCUUAA